Molecule: ribosomal RNA, 300 nt
Filed under: uncultured Longilinea sp.
Lineage: Bacteria; Bacillati; Chloroflexota; Anaerolineae; Anaerolineales; Anaerolineaceae
Description: bacterial SSU rRNA
Rfam family: Bacterial small subunit ribosomal RNA
Source: RNAcentral
GCUAACUACGUGCCAGCAGCCGCGGUAAAACGUAGGAGGCGAGCGUUAUCCGGAUUUACUGGGUGUAAAGCGCGUGCAGGCGGUCGGCUAAGUUGGGUGUGAAAGCUCCCGGCUCAACUGGGAGAGGUCGCUCAAGACUGGCCGACUGGAGAGCAGUAGGGGAAGGUGGAAUUCCGGGUGUAGUGGUGAAAUGCGUAGAUAUCCGGAGGAACACCAGUGGCGAAGGCGGCCUUCUAGACUGCAUCUGACGCUCAGACGCGAAAGCUAGGGUAGCAAACGGGAUUAGAUACCCUGGUAGUC